GAAAAGGUGGUUGUGGAAGCCAAAGAUGUUGUUGUAUCAAUUGUUGUUGUGGUGUCAGGCAUAGUUGUGGUUGCUGCAUCAGAUGUUGAUGCUGGUGCUAUAGUGGUCGAUAUCAGAGGUGUGGUUGUGGAAGCCAAAAUUGUUGUUGCAUCAGUUGUUGUUGUGGUGUCAGACAGAGUUGUGGUUGCUGUUUCAGUUGGUGAAAUUGGUGCAAUAUUAGAGGAUGUUGGAGCGGUGGUUGCGAGAGCCAAAGUUGUUGUUGUAUCAGUUGUUGUUGUUGUGGUGUCAGACAGAGUUGUUGUUGAUGCAUCAGUUGUUGUUGAAACUGGCACUACAGUUGAGGAUGUUGUAGGAGUGAUUGUGGAAGCCAAAUUUGUUGUUGUAUCAAUUGUUGUUGUGGUGUCAGGCAUAGUUGUGGUUGCUGCAUCAGAUGUUGAUGAUACUGGCACUACAGUUGAGGAUGUUGUAGGAGUUGUUAUGGAAGCCAAAUUUGUUGUUGCAUCUAUCAUUGUUGUGGUAUCAGGAAUACUUGUGGUUGCUGCAUCAGAUGUUGCUGACGUUGGUUCAACCGUAGAGGAUGUUGCAAAGGUGGUUGUGGAAGCCAAAACUGUUGUUGCAUCAGUAGAUGUUGGGGUGUCAGGCAGAGUUGUGGUUGAUUCAUCAGUUGUUGACGUUGGUCCUACUGUCGAAGAUGUUGGAGGGGUGGUUGUGGAAGUCACAAUUGCAGCACCAGUAGUUGUUGUGGUGUCAGGCAGAGUUGUGGUUGAUGCAUCAGUGGUUGACAUUAGAUGGGUGGUUUUGGAAUACAAAGUUGUUGUUGCAUCAGUAGUUGUAGUGGUGUCAGACAGAGUUGUUUUUGAUUCAUCAGUUGUUGUUUUUGACACUGAUGCUAGAGUUGAGGGUGUUGGAGUGGUGGUUGUGGUUGCUAAAGUUGUUGUUGCAUCAGAUGUUUUUGUGGUGUCAGACAGAGUUGUGGUUGCUACAUCAGAUGUUGAUGCUGGUGCUAUAGUGGUCAAUGUCAGAGGUGUGGUUGUGGAAGCCAAAACUGUUGUUGCAUCAGUUGUUGUUGAUGUGGUGUCAGACAGAGUUGUUGUUGAUGCAUGAGUUGUUGUUGAAACUGGCGCUACAGUUGAGGAUGUUGUAGGAGUGAAUGUAGAAGCCAAAGUUGUUGUUGCAUCUAUCAUUGUUGUGGUAUCAGGAAUACUUGUGGUUGCUGCAUCAGAUGUUGUUGACGUUGGUUCAACCGUUGAGGAUGUUGAAAAGGUGGUUGUGGAAGCCAAAGAUGUUGUUGUAUCAAUUGUUGUUGUGGUGUCAGGCAUAGUUGUGGUUGCUGCAUCAGAUGUUGAUGCUGGUGCUAUAGUGGUCGAUUCAGAGUUGUGGAAGCCAAAACUGUUGUUGCAUCAGUUUUUGUUGUUGUGGUGUCAGACAGAGUUGUUGUUGAUGCAUCAGUUGUUGUUGAUACUGGCACUACAGUUGAGGAUGUUGUAGGAGUUUUAUGGAAGCCAAAUUUGUUGUUGCAUCUAUCAUUGUUGUGGUAUCAGGAAUACUUGUGGUUGUUGCAUCAGAUGUUGUUGACGUUGGUUCAACAGUUGAGGAUGUUGGAAAGGUGGUUGUAGUAGCCAAAGAAGUUGUUGUAUCAAUUGUUGUUGUGGUGUCAGGCAUAGUUGUGGUUGCUGCAUCAGAUGUUGAUGCUGGUGCUAUAGUGGUCGAUGUCAGAUGUGCGGUUGUGGAAGCCAAAACUGUUGUUGCAUCAGUUUUUGUUGUUGUGGUGUCAGACAGAGUUGUUGUUGUUGCAUCAGCUGUUGUUGAUACUGGCACUACAGUUGAGGAUGUUGUAGUAGUGAUUGUGGAAGCCAAAUUUGUUGUUGCAUCAGUUGUUGUUGUGGUGUCAGACAGAGUUGUGGUUGCUGCAUCAGUUGUUGUUGAAACUGGCACUACAGUUGAGGAUGUUGUAGGAGUGAUUGUGGAAGCCAAAUUUGUUGUUGCAUCUAUCAUUGUUGUGGUAUCAGGAAUACUUGUGGUUGCUGCAUCAGAUGUUGUUGACGUUGGUUCAACCGUUGAGGAUGUAGAAAAGGUGGUUGUGGAAGCCAAAGAUGUUGUUGUAUCAGUUGUUGUUGUUGUUGUGGUGUCAGACAGAGUUGUUGUUGAUGCAUCAGUUGUUGUUGAAACUGGCACUACAGUUGAGGAUGUUGUAGGAGUGAUUGUGGAAGCCAAAGUUGUUGUUGUAUCAGUUGUUGUUGUGGUGUCAGGCAGAGUUGUGGUUGAUGCAUCAGUGGUUGACAUUAGAUGGGUGGUUUUGGAAUACAAAGUUGUUGUUGCAUCAGUAGUUGUAGUGGUGUCAGACAGAGUUGUUUUUGAUUCAUCAGUUGUUGUUUUUGACACUGAUGCUAGAGUUGAGGGUGUUGGAGUGGUGGUUGUGGUUGCUAAAGUUGUUGUUGCAUCAGAUGUUUUUGUGGUGUCAGACAGAGUUGUGGUUGCUACAUCAGAUGUUGUUGACGUUGGUUCAAACUUUGAGGAUGAUGGAAAGGUGGUUGGGGAAGCCAAAGAUGUUGUUGUAUCAAUUGUUGUUGUGGUGUCAGGCACAAUUGUGGUUGAUGCAUCAGUGGUUGACAUUAGAGGGGUGGUUGUGGAAUCCAAAUUGUUGUUACAUCAGUAAUUGUAGUGGUGUCAGACAGAGUGGUGGUUGCUGUUUCAGUUGUUGAAAUUGGUGCAAUAUUAGAGGAUGUUGGAGCAGUGGUUGUGAGAGCCAAAGUUGUUGUUGUAUCAGUUGUUGUUGUUGUUGUGGUGUCAGACAGAGUUGUUGUUAAUGCAUCAGUUGUUGUUGAUACUGGCGCUACAGUUGAGGACGUUGUAGGAGUGAUUGUGGAAGCCAAAGUUGUUGUUGCAUCUAUCAUUGUUGUGGUAUCAGGAAUACUUGUGGUUGCUGCAUCAGAUGUUGUUGACGUUGGUUCAACCGUUGAGGAUGUUGAAAAGGUGGUUGUGGAAGUCAAAGAUGUUGAUGUAUCAAUUGUUGUUGUGGUGUCAGACAUAGUUGUUGUUGAUGCAUCAGUUGUUGUUGAUUCUUGCGCUACAGUUGAGGAUGAUGUAGGAGUGAUUGUGGAAGCCAAAGUUGUUGUUGCAUCUAUCAUUGUUGUGGUAUCAGGAAUACUUGUGGUUGCUGCAUCAGAUGUUGUUGCUGGUGCUAUAGUGGUCGAUGUAAGAGGUGUGGUUGUAGAAGCCAAAACUGUUGUUGCAUCAGUUGAUGUUGUUGUGGUGUCAGACAGAGUUGUUGUUGAUGCAUCAGUUAUUGUUGAAACUGGCGCUACAUUUGAGGGUGUUGUAGGAGUGAAAGUGGAAGCCAAAGUUGUUGUUACAUCUAUCAUUGUUGUGGUAUCAGGAAUACUUGUGGUUGCUGCAUCAGAUGUUGGUGACGAUGGUUCAACCGUUGAGGAUGUUGAAAAGGUGGUUGUGGAAGCCAAAGAUUUUGUUGUAUCAAUUGUUGUUGUGGUGUCAGGCAUAGUUGUGGUUGCUGCAUCAGUUGUUGUUGAUACUGGCGCUACAGUUGAGAAUGUUGUAGGAGUGAAAGUGGAAGCCAAAGUUUUUGUUGCAUCUAUCAUUGUUGUGGUAUCAGGAAUACUUGUGGUUGCUGCAUCAGAUGUUGUUGACAUUAGUUCAACCGUUGAGGAUGUUAGAAAAGUGGUUGUGGAAGCCAAAGAUGUUGUUGUAUCAAUUGUUGUUGUGGUGUCAGGCAUAGUUGUGGUUGCUGCAUCAGUUGUUGUUGAUACUGGCGCUACAUUUAAGGAUGUUGUAGGAGUGAUUGUGGAAGCCAAAGUUGUUGUUGCAGCUAUCACUGUUGUGGUAUCAGGUAUACUUGUGCUUGCUGCAUCAGUUGUUGUUGAUAUUGGCACUACAGUUGAGGAUGUUGUAGGAAUGAUUGUGGAAGCCAAAGUUGUUGUUGCAUCUAUCAUUGUUGUGGUGUCAGGAAUACUUGUGGUUGCUGCAUCAGAUGUUGUUGACGAUGGUUCAACCGUUGAGGAUGUUGAAAAGGUGGUUGUGGAAGCCAAAGAUAUUAUUGUAUCAACUGUUGUUGUAUCAAUUGUUGUUGUGGUGUCAGACAUAGUUGUUGUUGAUGCAUCAAUUGUUGUUGAUACUGGCGCUACAGUUGAGGAUGUUGUAGGAAUGAUUGUGGAAGCCAAAGUUGUUGUUGCAUCUAUCAUUGUUGUGGUAUCAGGAAUACUUGUGGUUGCUGCAUUAGAUGAUGUUGACGUUGGUUUAACCGUUGAGGAUGUUGAAAAGGUGGUUGUGGAAGCCAAAGAUAUUAUUGUAUCAAUUGUUGUUGUAUCAAUUGUUGUUGUGGUGUCAGACAUAGUUGUUGUUGAUGCAUGAGUUGUUGUUGAAACUGGCACUACAGUUGAGGAUGUUGUAGGAAUGAUUGUGGAAGCCAAAGUUGUUGUUGUAUCAAUUGUUGUUUUGGUGUCAGGCAUAGUUGUGGUUGCUGCAUCAGAUUUGAUGCUGGUGCCAUAGUGGUCAUGUCAGAGGUGUGGUUGUGGAAGAGAAAAUUGUUGUUGCAUCAGUUGUUGUUGUGGUGUCAGCCAGAGUUGCUGUUGAUGCAUCGGUUGUUGUAGCAAAAGUUGUAGUUGCAUCAAUAGUUGUUGUGGAGUCAGCUGUAGUUGUGGUUGCUCCCUCUAUUUUUGACACUAUAGUUGAGGAUUUUGGAGGGGUGGUUGUGGAAGCCAAACUUGUUGCAUCAGUAGUUAUUGUGGCGUCAGACAGCGUUGUGGUUGAUGCAUCAGUUAUUGAUGCUGGUUCUAUAGUUGAGGAUGUUGGGGGGGGGGUUGUGUAAGCCAGCUUUUUUGUUGAAUAAAUAGUUGUUAUGGUGUCAGGCAUAGUUGUGGUUGAUGCAUCUGUUGUUGACAUUGGAAUGGUGGUUGUAGAAGCCAAAUUUGUUUUUCUAUCAAUAGUUAUAGUGGUGUCAAUUAUUGUGGUUACUGCAUCAGUUGUUGAAGUUGCUGCUGUAUUUGAGGAUGAUGGAGGAGUUGUUGUGGAAGCCAUAUUUUUUGUUUCAUCUGUAGUUGUAGUACUGUCAAACAGAGUUAUUGUUGCUUCAUCCGUUGUUGUUGAUGUUGGUACUACAGUUGAAUAUGAUGGAGAGGUGGUGUCUGUAUCAGUCAUCAAUUUUGGUGCUAUAGUUGAGGAUGCUGAAAACAUGCUUUUUGUAUCCAAAGUUGUUGUUUCCAUUAUAGUUGUAGUUGUAUAAAUUGUUUUUGAUUGGGCUGUUUUUGUGUCUUUUGGAUCCUUUUUUUUUGUGAUUUCAGAAAUUGGUGUUGAUGUUAAAUCUUGAAUUUUUAUUGUUGAUUGCACAUCUUUUGCUGUAGAAGCCCCGGUUUCUGUAGUAACUGGUGUGGUAUAGUCUGAUGUCCUUCGACCUGAUUCUGUAGAUUUUCCAAGUCCUGUCGUACAUCCAUAAACCAUCCACCAGAUACAGACUGUGAAAAGAGAUAUUUCAU
Long non-coding RNA from Cyprinus carpio carpio, 5486 nucleotides. Lineage: Eukaryota; Metazoa; Chordata; Actinopteri; Cypriniformes; Cyprinidae. The record is from Ensembl.